RNAcentral lists this ribosomal RNA (498 nucleotides) under uncultured bacterium. Its description in RNAcentral is "partial 16S ribosomal RNA". It matches the Rfam family "Bacterial small subunit ribosomal RNA", at positions 28 to 523 of the family's 1533-position model. The record is from RNAcentral.
GAUGAACGCUAGCGGCAGGCCUAAUACAUGCAAGUCGGACGGGAUCGGGGAGCUUGCUCCCCGUGAGAGUGGCGCACGGGUGCGUAACACGUAUGUAACCUACCUUUAUCAGGGGGAUAGCCUCUCGAAAGAGAGAUUAACACCGCAUAACAUCACAUGAUAGCAUUAUCGAGUGAUCAAAUAUUCAUAGGAUAAAGAUGGGCAUGCGGGACAUUAGCUAGUUGGCGGGGUAACGGCCCACCAAGGCGACGAUGUCUAGGGGAUCUGAGAGGAUGACCCCCAACACUGGUACUGAGACACGGACCAGACUCCUACGAGAGGCAGCAGUAAGGAAUAUUGGUCAAUGGACGCAAGUCUGAACCAGCCAUGCCGCGCGCAGGAGGACGGCCCUACGGGUUGUAAACUGCUUUUGUACCGGAAUAAACCCUUUUACGUGUAUGAGGCUGAAUGUACGGUAGGAAUAAGGAUCGGCUAACUCCGUGCCAGCAGCCGCUGUAA